GGACCAAGGAGUCUAGCAUGUGCGCGAGUCAUUGGGACUAUAAUAAACCUAAAGGCGCAAUGAAAGUAAAAGUCCGCCUUGUGCGGACUUAGGGAGGAUGGGACCGUUCUCGGACGGACCUCGCACUCCCGGGGCGUCUCGUUCUCAUCGCGAGAAGAGGCGCACCUAGAGCGUACACGCUGGGACCCGAAAGAUGGUGAACUAUGCCUGGUCAGGACGAAGUCAGGGGAAACCCUGAUGGAGGUCCGUAGCGAUUCUGACGUGCAAAUCGAUCGUCGGAACUGGGUAUAGGGGCGAAAGACUAAUCGAACCUUCUAGUAGCUGGUUCCCUCCGAAGUUUCCCUCAGGAUAGCUGGCGCUCGCAUUGCGAGUCUCAUUCGGUAAAGCGAAUGAUUAGAGGCAUUGGGGUCGAAACGGCCUCAACCUAUUCUCAAACUUUAAAUGGGUGAGAUCUUCGGCUUGCUUAAAUAGUGAAGCCGUAAGACUUAUUCGGAUCAAUGAGUGCCAAGUGGGCCACUUUUGGUAAGCAGAACUGGCGCUGUGGGAUGAACCAAACGCAGAGUUAAAGCGCCUAAAUCGACGCUUAUGGGAUACCAUGAAAGGCGUUGGUAACUUAAGACAGCAGGACGGUGGCCAUGGAAGUCGGA
Molecule: ribosomal RNA, 647 nt
Filed under: Helictopleurus sp. 12 MTM-2009
Lineage: Eukaryota; Metazoa; Arthropoda; Insecta; Coleoptera; Scarabaeidae
Description: eukaryotic LSU rRNA
Rfam family: Eukaryotic large subunit ribosomal RNA
Source: RNAcentral